Molecule: ribosomal RNA, 494 nt
Filed under: uncultured bacterium
Lineage: Bacteria
Description: bacterial SSU rRNA
Rfam family: Bacterial small subunit ribosomal RNA
Source: RNAcentral
AGUGAACGCUGGCGGCAGGCCUAAUACAUGCAAGUCGAACGGCAGCACAGCAGAGCUUGCUCUGUGGGUGGCGAGUGGCGGACGGGUGAGGAAUACAUGGGAAUCUGCCCAGUCGUGGGGGAUAACGUAUGGAAACGUACGCUAAUACCGCAUGCGCCCUACGGGGGAAAGUCGGGGACCGCAAGGCCUGACGCGAUUGGAUGAGCCCAUGUUCGAUUAGCUAGUUGGCGGGGUAAAGGCCCACCAAGGCGACGAUCGAUAGCUGGUCUGAGAGGAUGAUCAGCCACACUGGAACUGAGACACGGUCCAGACUCCUACGGGAGGCAGCAGUAGGGAAUAUUGGACAAUGGGGGCAACCCUGAUCCAGCCAUGCCGCGUGAGUGAAGAAGGCCCUCGGGUUGUAAAGCUCUUUUGUCCGGAAAGAAAGCAAUCGGUUAAUACCCGGUUGUUCUGACGGUACCGGAGAAUAAGCACCGGCUAACUUCGUGCCAGCA